This 435-nucleotide long non-coding RNA is filed under the name Marmota monax (woodchuck). Lineage: Eukaryota; Metazoa; Chordata; Mammalia; Rodentia; Sciuridae. The record is from RNAcentral.
GCAACGGCUUCUGCGGCGGGUGGUGCCCGACUGAACGGAAAAACCGUCGCUGGCGCCCUGGGCGGCCGUUAAGUGCCGCCCCUGCCGGCUGGCCGCCUUUCCCUCCUUCCCCGCCAGGGGGCGCUAGGCUGGAGGCUUGAGACCCUUGGAAGGCCCCGUAAGCCCCGCGCCAGCCUGCCUUCCAGCAUUCCUGAGCAAAGACCUUUACGUGGCUCGUUCUCUAGACUCCCUGAGAAACUUCUGGGUGAAGGGAACCAAAGCCAAGCCACUGGCAACUGACCUUCAGGGAACUGACUCCCGGACAGGUGGAGACUGAAUUCCCUCUGCUCUUCUUCCUCUGGAACUGGGUGCCCACACCGUGUCCACAGCCUCAUAUCUCCAAAGCCACUGCUGGGGUUGGGAUGGUGCAAGGUAAGUGGAAAGGCCUCAAGGCUC